AUUGAACGCCGGCGGCAUGCCUUACACAUGCAAGUCGAACGGCAGCACGGGAGCUUGCUCCUGGUGGCGAGUGGCGAACGGGUGAGUAAUACAUCGGAACGUACCCUGAAGUGGGGGAUAACGUAGCGAAAGUUACGCUAAUACCGCAUAUUCUGUGAGCAGGAAAGAGGGGGAUCGCAAGACCUCUUGCUUUAGGAGCGGCCGAUGUCGGAUUAGCUAGUUGGUGAGGUAAAGGCUCACCAAGGCGACGAUCCGUAGCGGGUCUGAGAGGAUGAUCCGCCACACUGGGACUGAGACACGGCCCAGACUCCUACGGGAGGCAGCAGUGGGGAAUUUUGGACAAUGGGCGCAAGCCUGAUCCAGCCAUGCCGCGUGAGUGAAGAAGGCC
This 388-nucleotide ribosomal RNA is filed under the name uncultured bacterium. Its description in RNAcentral is "bacterial SSU rRNA". It matches the Rfam family "Bacterial small subunit ribosomal RNA", at positions 30 to 416 of the family's 1533-position model. The record is from RNAcentral.